GGAAAAGAUCUGUAUGCUGGGUGACACCACAUGAAUUUGGAUCUAAAGCAAGAAGCAGGUUUUCAGGGAGACUGUUGUGCAGCGAUCUUUAACAGUCCACCAGGAAACAAAAGCAAGUUCCAGGACUGCAUCACUACACACAUUUCUGCGAUGGACUCCUCUGGCUCCGGACCUUCCCCUGAGGUGGCAGCAUCUGCUCCAGCUUUCCCUGAGUUGGUGGAGUCCACAUCCAAGACACGACUGAAGUGGUCGUAACCGAGUUCUGUGACAUGACCAAGGUGUUCGUCCCUGAGUUCCCUGUCACAGCCAGAAAGAUUGUCUCUGAGUUCCCUGUGCUUCCUAUCAUAGCUCUGAUGUGGCCUCCACUUCAUGACCCUGGAUGGUGCUAAGCAAGGACAUGUCCAGUUGUGAAGAUGCAGAACAUGGUGUCCCAUGAGAAGCAUUAAUGGUCUCUAAAUUAGAGUGACACAUUAAAUGACAUUGACUCAUCCAAAAUUACCAUGAACUUGUUUUCAUCUCUCAAUGCCGAACAACCUUGAACGGUUUUAGCAUCUGACAGGAGUCUCAUUCAUCUUUUAAUUUGUUACUAUACAAGGUUAAUUUUGAAGCUAUUUUUCUACAUACAAAAUUGCUCUCUGGGGAUUUUCAAGCACUAGACAAAGAGGAAAUGGUGAAAGGAUGUCCACUCAAGCCAAUAUUCCAGCUGCGGCAAACUGUUACUAGUAGAAAGGUUUGACCCUGAAGCCUGUUUUUUGUAACAUGAAUAUCAUGGAUGUCAUGCUGUGA
Molecule: long non-coding RNA, 786 nt
Organism: Cyprinus carpio carpio
Lineage: Eukaryota; Metazoa; Chordata; Actinopteri; Cypriniformes; Cyprinidae
Source: Ensembl